GCCACAAGGAGUGAAAAGUUUCAUCAUCAUGGGAAUGGGCAUGAAGUAAUCUAAAAAAAUACCUUUAUGCAUUUUAUUACCACCAAUGUUGAUUGGUCUUCAUUUCUUGGGGCAGCUUCAGAAAGAUCCCAGGUGCUAUGCUCAUCAGAGCUGCCAUGCCCAAAAGCUGGAUGCAUGGACCCAUGAAGGAAAGCCACAACCCAGAAGCAGGUGCCUAAGUAACCUUUAUGUUGAGUGGAAUGAAAUUCUGCAAGCAAGAAGUUAUAUUCAGAAUUAUGCAAAAUAACAGGACUACAAUGAGAUACUACCUCCGAAACCUGUUGCUUGACAACAUGAGAUGAAGUCAAACAGAAAACAUACGCUGGAGUGUUGUGGUUUCACCCCGGCAGGCAGCUCAGCACCACACAGCCGUUCGCCCGCUGUCCCCAGGUGGGAUGGGGGAGAGAAUCUGAAAGGGAAAAAUGUGACAACUCAUGGGUUGAGAUGCAGAC
This 491-nucleotide long non-coding RNA is filed under the name Anser brachyrhynchus (Pink-footed goose). RNAcentral describes it as "lncRNA (ENSABRG00000008032.1)". The record is from RNAcentral. Lineage: Eukaryota; Metazoa; Chordata; Aves; Anseriformes; Anatidae.